Long non-coding RNA from Prionailurus viverrinus (fishing cat), 1839 nucleotides. RefSeq lists it as uncharacterized. Lineage: Eukaryota; Metazoa; Chordata; Mammalia; Carnivora; Felidae. The record is from RefSeq and is a predicted model, not a curated record. The transcript is spliced from 3 exons.
UAGCGCCUCACUGAGGAGAGACAGAAUCUAUGUGUGCAGUCAUUAGGUUGGCCUAAGGGGAAGUUUGGACUCAGACACACACAGACAGAAGAUGCUGUGAACACACGGGGAGAAGAUGGCUGUCUACAAGCCAAGGAGCACCAAGAGCUACCAGAAGCUAGAAGAGGUGGAGAACUAAGGCUCAAAGUAGGAAUGCAGCUGGUGAGAGGGCAGAGCCCCAGUUCAAAGCCAGGCCCCGCUGAUUCAGUGCCCUCAUGCUUCCCAGAAGCCGCUCCCCUCCAGCCACGAGGUUGCUUACCAGCCUACCAGGACUUGGUUGUUUUAACAGAAAUUGCCUCAUAAUCCAGGUCGGCUUCUGAGAGUCUCACCAAGGUAACCACAUGGAGGUGCACGGAUCUCCAGAAGGCCAGACGCUGCUGUCUUUUAUAAUCGACUAUCAUGCAUAAACAUCAUAAGUAUCUCUAAAGAAGGGAAUGCUGCCCGAAAACAGACACUCACAAAGCAGAGAGGGAUCAUGCAUUCCCUCCCCCUCUGGAAAAAGUCCAGCUGUGAAAAGAGAGGUUCCCAAAGGUCUGAAAUCUGGGGGUCUCAAGUUAAUGGGUACAUUUUAAAGACUGAAUGUAUAUACAUCACCUCAAAUUGAUGUGGCUCCAAGAAGUAACUAUAUACCUGACUCAGAACGAGGCAGCCUGAGAAUGUUAUGAGGCAGACUUUUCCACUAUUAGGCACCUCUCAGCACCUCUCCUUACGCAUUUGGAGGCUCUAGAGAAUAGUUUAGACCCUAUUUAGAUGGGUGAACUUUCAAAAAACUACCUGAUACCCAAGAAACUUGAAAGAAUUAACAAUGUAUUCCUCAAAGCACCUUACAAGUUGAAACUUGUUUUCAGGAUAACUUCCGUUGCGAAAUACAUCUUAGUUUCUUAACUUGUUCUAAGACAGAAUUUGGUAUGUUAAAGAAGGGGCUUCAAAUGAAAUAUGCAAGAUCAAGUUAAAAGAAGAGCUCAACAUUUGCACAUUUUUUAAAUGUAUCUACUGAUAUAUGUGCUAGACACAGUCAUGAUUAGAGUCUGAGUCACAGAUAUUGCAAGACCAAGAUAACAGGCUUUGAUUUGAUUAUGGUGUGAAAUGUAGGGAUUGCAACAAAAAUAACCCCAAACGUUAAAAAGGAGAGAGAGUUUUUAUUAGAGACAUUCACACUCAUAGUUUUGAGGUCACUGGACUCAAAAAAAAAACAACGCAGUUUUGUUUUUCUGGCACAUACUAGCUUGGUGCAAUUAUUUAACAACUAGAAUACAGGAAAAGAAUUUUUUUUUUCCCGUGUAAGGACAAAUAUGUACGUUUUGGAGCCUUUAUUUUAAACAUUUUUUUAUUUUUGGAAAGCUAUUUUUUUUAUCAAAGCUCAAAGAAAUUUCCAAACAAUUAAAUCUAUCCUCACCUCCGUGCAAAGUUGGAAAUAAGCCUGAAUUAAUUACCGCAUUAAGAUGGAACCUCUUUUGAGGUACAUUCCCAUUUUAGGGAGUACUUGCAGGGACUUCUAAAGAUGGCAGGUGUUUGGAGGGAGAAACUUCUCAUUCCUGGCUCAUACUCUUCCAUGUGUGAGUGAAAUUCAGCCAAUACCUCUAUCCUGAAGCCACCCUCUCUCUAGUGAUAAAGCCCUCCGUGUCUCCCCACCCGGUGACAUUAGAUCGGUCACAUCUAAUGGGGUGGUUACUCUGGCAUAAGACAGGCUCGAGUCCCCUCUCACACUGUCUGCCUACAGGCAGUGUGAGGCCCCUGUUUGCAUUCUCUCCUCUUACCCGGGACAGGAGUUCUUGCCAGGGCAUCGGGUUUCUCCAGCUC